CGGGAAGAAGAAAAUGACGGUACCGACAGAAACAGCACCGGCUAACCCUGUGCCAGCAGCCGCGGUAAUACAGGGGGUGCAAGCGUUAUUCGGAAUUAUUGGGCGUAAAGAGCGUGUAGGCGGUCUUGUAAGUCUGGUGUGAAAUCCCUGGGCUCAAUCCAGGAAGUGCAUUGGAUACUACAAGACUAGAGUAUAGGAGAGGAUGGCGGAAUUCCUGGUGUAGAGGUGAAAUUCGUAGAUAUCAGGAGGAACAACAGAGGCGAAGGCGGCCAUCUGGACUAUUACUGACGCUAAGGCGCGAAAGUGUGGGGAGCAAACAGGAUUAGAUACCCUGGUAGUCCACACCGUAAACUAUGGGUACUAGAUGUCGGAAGUUCUUACCCUUCCGGUGUCGCAGCUAACGCAGUAAGUACCCCGCCUGGGAAGUACGGUCGCAAGAUUAAAACUCAAAGAAAUUGACGGGGGCCCGCACAAGCGGUGGAGUAUGUUGUUCAAUUCGAUGCAACGCGAAAAACCUUACCUGGGCUUGACAUCCGACGCUACCCUAUGAAAGUAGGGGUUCCCGCAAGGGACGUCGAGACAGGUGCUGCAUGGCUGUCGUCAGCUCGUGUCGUGAGAUGUUGGGUUAAGUCCCGCAACGAGCGCAACCCUUGUCAUUAGUUGCCAGCUUUAAGUUGGGCACUCUAAUGAGACCGCUUGCCGAUAAGGCAGAGGAAGGUGGGGAUGACGUCAAGUCAGCAUGGCCCUUACGCCCAGGGCCACAAACGUACUACAAUGGCCGGCACAAUGCGUUGCAAUACCGAGAGGUGGAGCUAAUCGCAGAAAACCGGUCUCAGUUCGGAUUGGGGUCUGCAACUCGACCCCAUGAAG
RNAcentral lists this ribosomal RNA (870 nucleotides) under uncultured bacterium. Its description in RNAcentral is "bacterial SSU rRNA". It matches the Rfam family "Bacterial small subunit ribosomal RNA", at positions 441 to 1325 of the family's 1533-position model. The record is from RNAcentral.